UCCAAUCUGUGCCAAGGACCUGAGAA
RNAcentral lists this non-coding RNA (26 nucleotides) under Rattus norvegicus (Norway rat). The record is from RNAcentral. Lineage: Eukaryota; Metazoa; Chordata; Mammalia; Rodentia; Muridae.